AGAGUUUGAUCAUGGCUCAGAUUGAACGCUGGCGGCAUGCUUAAUACAUGCAAGUCGAACGGUAACAGAUUCUUCGGAAUGCUGACGAGUGGCGGACGGGUGAGUAAUACAUAGGAAUCUGCCCAUGUAGUGGGGGACAACUUGGGGAAACUCAAGCUAAUACCGCAUAAUUCCUACGGGAUAAAGAGGGCCACUGCUUGCAUGCUCUUGCUACUGGAUGAGCCUAUGUCGGAUUAGUUAGUUGGUAAGGUAAUGGCUUACCAAGACAGCGAUCCGUAGCUGGUUUGAGAGGAUGAUCAGCCACACUGGGACUGAGACACGGCCCAGACUCCUACGGGAGGCAGCAGUAGGGAGUAUUGGACAAUGGGCGCAAGCCUGAUCCAGCAAUGCCGCGUGUGUGAAGAAGGCCUGCGGGUUGUAAAGCACUUUCAAUUGGGAAGAAAGAUUAUGAGUUAAUACCUUAUAA
RNAcentral lists this ribosomal RNA (466 nucleotides) under uncultured bacterium. RNAcentral's name for it is "bacterial SSU rRNA". It matches the Rfam family "Bacterial small subunit ribosomal RNA", at positions 8 to 467 of the family's 1533-position model. The record is from RNAcentral.